This 440-nucleotide ribosomal RNA is filed under the name uncultured bacterium. RNAcentral's name for it is "partial 16S ribosomal RNA". It matches the Rfam family "Bacterial small subunit ribosomal RNA", at positions 338 to 795 of the family's 1533-position model. The record is from RNAcentral.
CCUACGGGAGGCUGCAGUGGGGAAUAUUGCACAAUGGGGGAAACCCUGAUGCAGCGACGCCGCGUGCGUGAAGAAGUAAUUCGUUAUGUAAAGCUCUAUCAGCAGGGAAGAAAAUGACGGUACCUGAGUAAGAAGCACCGGCGAACUACGUGCCAGCAGCCGCGGUAAUACGUAGGGGGCAAGCGUUAUCCGGAUUUACUGGGUGUAAAGGGAGCGUAGACGGCAGUGCAAGUCUGGAGUGAAAGGCGGGGGCUCAACCCCCGAACUGCUCUGGAAACUGUACGGCUGGAGUGCUGGAGAGGCAAGCGGAAUGCCGGGUGUAGCGGUGAAAUGCGUAGAGAUACGGAGGAACACCAGUGGCGAAGGCGGAUUGCUGGACAGUAACUGACGCUGAGGCGCGAAAGCGUGGGGAGCAAACAGGAUUAGAUACCCGUGUAGUC